Molecule: ribosomal RNA, 1048 nt
Filed under: unidentified archaeon
Lineage: Archaea
Description: 16S ribosomal RNA
Source: RNAcentral
GGGUCUCGCUCGUUACCUGACUUAACAGGAUGCUUCACAGUACGAACUGACGACGGCCAUGCACCACCUCUCAGCUAAUCCGGCAAAGUCUUCAGCCUGGCCUUCAUAUUGCUGUCGGUCCCGGUAAGAUUUCCGGCGUUGAAUCCAAUUAAACCGCAAGCUCCACCCGUUGUGGUGCUCCCCCGCCAAUUCCUUUAAGUUUCAGCCUUGCGGCCGUACUUCCCAGGUGGCUCGCUUCACGGCUUCCCUACGGCACCGACAACGGUCGCACCGUGGCCGACACCUAGCGAGUAUCGUUUACGGCUAGGACUACCCGGGUAUCUAAUCCGGUUCGUGCCCCUAGCUUUCGUCCCUUGCCGUCAGGUCCGUUCUGGUGAGACGCCUUCGCCACUGGUGGUCCUUCAAGGAUUACAAGAUUUCAACCCCUUACCCCUGAAGUACCUCUCACCUCUCCCGGCCUCGAGCCAGACAGUAUCUCCUGAAAGCCUGACAGUUAAGCUGCCAGAUUUCUCAAGAGACUUAUCCGGCCGGCUACAGACCCUUUAGACCCAAUAAUAACGGUUACCACUCGAGCCGCCGGUGUUACCGCGGCGGCUGGCACCGGUCUUGCCCGGCCCUUGCUAUGAAAUGCUUUUUAGGCAUCUCGACAGCCAGAUUUGUAACCUGGCACUCGAGGUUCCCCUUAUCGCUGUUGCCAGCAUUGUAAAGUUUUCGCGCCUGCUGCACCCCGUAGGGCCUGGAUUCGUGUCUCAGAAUCCAUCUCCGGGCUCUUGCUCUCACAACCCGUACCCGUCGUAGGCUAGUAGGUACGCUACACCCACUACUACCUGAUAGGCCGCAGACCCAUCCUUAGGCGCCGGAGCUUUAAAUCUCGAUGCAUUCCAGCAAUCGAGACCUAUCGGGUAUUAUACCCAGUUUCCCGGGUUUAUCCCCGUCCUAAGGGCAGGUUGUCCACGUGUUACUGAGCAGUUCGCCAUGUAUUGCUACAUUCGACUCGCAUGGCUUAGUCGAACCUCGAUAGCAGUAACCUCUGGCAGGAUCAACCGGA